CUGGACUAUACAAGAGAGGGGAGGGAAAGAGAAGAAAGAAAAAAAACACCCCCUUCUGUCCACCAUUUUAGGGAGAGAAAAGGAAUACCUCAGCUGCUCUCCUAUCUCACAUCCAAAUGGAAAAGGCAGAAACCAGCUUGUUUCCUCACUGCAUUAGAGGUGAGAGGAAGCAGAAUAGGAAGAGGGCAGGAAGCAGCCAACAAAGGUAAGAAGAGAUGUUAAACUUCCCCAUGUCCUAAUGCUGCUGCAUUUGAAUCAAAACUCUUAUAAACCUACAACCCAGCUGUGGAAAAGGACUUUGGUAAAGCUGGGGUGGAGGGAAGGAUGGCUUUCGCAGUAGAAGUACUUGUUUUGCUUUGUAUUUGCAUGCUUCAUCCAAGUGUUACACAACAUGGAGUUUUAGAGAGCUGUACAAAAACAUGCACUUCACACAAGUCCAGGGAAAAACCCCAACCCCACUAAAAUCUGUUUAAAACAUAAAACCUCACCUGAGUCUAAAAGGACCCUAAUGCAGACCGCUCAGUAGGUACCGCAACAACAACAAAGGAAAAGAAAUCAUACAUUAGAAAAUAUUCCUGGCUUAGAUGUGACAAAACAGCUUUCCCAAGAUGAUUCUGUGUAACUCGAUGCCCCAAAUUCACUAACGUUUGCCAGGAUAGCAACGGCUGCUGCAGAAUUCCACUGGCAAACACUGUAUCUCACAUUUUUCUCUUUCUCAAUAUGCUGUGACUUCCUGUGGAGAAAUAAUCUAUACUACAAAGAGGUGCAGGACUAACACUUUUCGACGGAAAUAAUUUUACAGCAGCCUACAAUAUAUGUAGAAAUAUAAUACUUGGGUAGAGAAAUUCCUGAGCAGAGAGAGACUAGAAAAACACUUUGAUAAACAAACGCCUUCAAAGCUUAUGUUAUUUUCCUCAGAGCAAAAAAUAUUGGGUAACUGCGUGCUGUUCCUAGAAAGAAUGGAAUUUUGUUGCCAACAGCUGUAGCUUUUCAGAGGACUUAUAAUACUAUAUUGAAGAUUUAUGCUCCUGACAAAAGCUUAAAGCUAUCCAAACUAGGGCAGAAAAAAAACAAUCGCCUUUUAAAAGACCUGUGCUAUUUUUGUUAACUCUUCCUACAGCAGACGUUAGGACCUUCAAAAACAGACACCCACAACUGGGGUUGAUCUUUGUAAUGAUUCAUAAGUCAAGCAGUGACACUGCACCGGGUCAACUACUCAAUCUCAGGUUCUUAAACAAGCAAGAAGUACAUCCUAAUCGUCUUGAAAUCAAUCAAAGUCAUAAGUAUUUACCUCCAAAGUACAUGACUUUAAGUUUUCUUCCUGAUCCUUUUGGGCUUACAGUUACGUUUUUCCUACCUUAAGAAAGGUUUCCCCAAGGUGUGGCCAUCUCACAGAACCGUACAAGAUAGGAGAUAAGGUAUCCUAGACAAAAGACUGUCCUCUGCAUAAACAAGCAAAGGGAUGAGAUCUCAGAUCUCUGUGUUGGACUUACAUAGAUGUAAGUAGCCCUACCUGCCUGCGGUCGGUCUCCUGAUGCCAGCAGAAACUGUUCCUUGAGCUCUGCAGGAUUAGGGUCUUCUGUGCUCUCUGUAACUACAGCAGCUAACAGUAUCUGGAACUUUAAAGCUAAACUGAUACUGAGCAAAGAAACUCAGGAUGUCACAGUUUUUCAGGCUCAUAUAUUUGCAAGCAGCCAAGCAGCACACUCUGGGUUGAAUCCUGGGCCAAUUUACAGUUACAAUCUAUGCCGCUCCGUGAACGUUACGCUGAGUUACACAAAUUGUGAUUGACAAAUCCGUUGCCUUGAAACAAUUUGCCCAAAGCUCACGAUGAGUCAGUGGAAGUGUCUUGUUUAUGUCUCAGACUCUGGCUUCCAUCUCGUAGCUGCUCAGUCCACCAGAUCAUAACUACGGAGCACCACCAAAGAAGUUUUUAUUUCUGUCCUUCUAAAAUAACACUUUAAUUUGUUUGUUGUUUUUGUUUUGUUUUGUUUUGCUUUUACAAAGGGAAGAAAAUAAAUUAAAAGCUUCUUAACAAUUACAGUUGUGCUUUUUUUUUUUUUUAAAACUGGUAACCAACAAACUACUUCUCAGCUGAUCCACAGAUAGAAAGCCUGAUCUCUUCAAGCAAAAUGCACAACAGUCCAAAGCCCUAGAUAGAAAAAUCACUGUGCGUGUGCCAGAGUUGUCACCUACAGACAAAGGAAUAGAGUACCUGCUUUAACUUUAAAAAACCCCUGCAUGUAGUUUAGUUUGUAAGAAGUGAAGGACUACAAAAUAAAGCCUUCCUUCAAGAAACAACUCGCCACCAGUCCUUAAUCCUGCAAAAGAUCUGCAAAAACUGAGGAUAUUUUGCUUGAGUAAACAGAAUUUUAAUUGAGCAUAAACAAGUGAACAGCAGGCAUGCCAUUUCCAUAAGUAUGCAUGAUUCCAAGCAAUAAAGAUUUUAAAAUCUGAGGCCAUGAAACAGAUUUCAAUUUUAAAAGUCUUACGGUUUUAAAAAACAUAUGAUGUGCAUAGAAGGCUCUUUUCACUAGAAAUAGAUUCUUUAGAACAAAUUGCCAGUGACAAAUCAUCAUUUUUAUGAACUGUUUCCAGUAAGGUAGAAGUUAUCUCGCAUGGCACUGAAGAACACAUUUAAUUUUAAGCAUGCUUACAGUUUUAUUAGAGGCAAUGGCUUUUUCCAUGCUUAAAGCCAAGCAUAUGCUCAAGUACUCUGCUGAGACAAAAGCUUACAAGUUUGUUGUUCUGAAUGCAAAGCGAGGCUUUUUAUCCCAAACCACAUUUUCUUGCAUGUAAUCAGCCCUCAUGAUGUCACCAUAGUUUCCAAUUCACUUCAGGAUGUGCUCAUCAUUUAUUAGGGUCCAGAUGGUGCUCUCUUUCUUUGGCUACUAAAGACCAUGCCCAAAUAUUAAAGCUUACCCUUUUCUUACGCUCUGGAUUACCACAGUACAAAAUGACAGUAACCUCUGAUCUAAUCUGGAAAUCUUUUCUUUGUACAUGAGAUUUGGCAAUAUCAAGUACAGUCAGCCCACUCGAAACCAAAGAACCUGAUAUGCAUAAAUACAGUACAUUAGUCACAAUGGGAACAAGCAACCCACAAAAUGGUCAAAAGAGUAAAAAUCAGAAAGCAUUUUUCUAGUAAAAAAAAGAUGGGACCUUGCCUGUACUUGAUAGCCACAUGUGUUUUUGAAGAACUUUGAGGAUUAAUUCAAUAGCUCAACCAGCAAUCAGCAAACAGACACACACACUGAUUUGUAAGGCAAAUAAGGAGCACGAGCAUGACAGGGUUUGUCAUAACAGCACCAUCAUUUCCAACACUUUCAACACCACAAGUCUGCACCGUGCUGAGAACCCACAGUGUUUUGACCCAUGGGCAGCACGAGAUAUUUAUUCUCCAAAGAGUUCUGGAAAUUAUUUACUAUUUCCGCAGCUGUGGAGCAAGCAUAAAGCACAUCUCCACAGAGACCCAGCAGAAAGAUAAGUUGUCGUGACAUUUCAUUAAAAAUGUCCUAAGGUAAGAUAAUGCCAUAUUUGUCCAGCAGAUCUUGACAAAACGUUCUCCAGCGUGCAGCUAAUUCAGGUGCAGGUGCACAUGAUGUUCAACAGUCCUGAGUCACACAUCUUCACAAGCUUAGAGCCUCACGCAAAGCACACUGACACUGGAAAAAUCACACAUCAUAAUAUGACCAAAUCUAAAUGGGGGGAGGCUAGGGGAGGGAAGGAAGGAAAGUUAAUCCAACUGCUCAGAAAAAGAUGUUCCCAAAUGAGAACUACUUCACUAUUUAACUAUUAUUACCUACAACUAACUAUUUAACAACUAACACAUGUUGCAAGAAACUAGGGCAAGGAAAUGUAUUUUAAGCAGUCUUCCUGACUUCAAAACAGCUUAGUAAUUGCAUUCAUGUAUUGGUAGAGAAAUCGUUUCAGAAUAAACAUCAAAUCCAGAAAGCUUGUUUUAGAUGUGUGCUUAAAUGUCAGAAAAACAGAGGUUCAACAAGAUUACGUAACGUCCACUGAAUCAGUUGACUCCUAAACUCUUUUCAAAACUAAGCAGCAGCUAGUAAUUUUGGUGGCAAUAAUCCUAGAUAUCUGCACUCCAAUAAACAUGAUAAACCACGUAAUUCUAAAUCAGUAUAUGCUACUAAAUUAAAACAACAUUAAAAUAAUAAAGUUACAUAAAUAAAAAUUCUGUCAAUCCGGAAACAAAAUACCAUAAAACAUAGAUAAAACACACAUUAACCAGGUAUGGGUAGCAAGGAGGCCAUUAUUCAGCUAGGGAAAACUACUUUUUAUAGUCCUUUCCCUUUGAAGUAAUGGAGUCUGGGUCCUCCUACAUCUCCCAGCUCUCCAAAGGCAGCCUCAGUUGAGCUGCUGUCUCCCCAUACCCAGAAACUCAUCCUUGCUCACACCCCAAGCUUGGCAGUGCCUCCUGGCAUUGGGCUGGCUUCCAGGAAAUUCAGGCUGCACCCUAUGUUGCUAUCGUGCUCUGUAUCUCCAUGAUGCAUAACUUGAAAUUACUGGUACAUUCAACACUUUCAAAACUACACCUUGAGAACAAGCUUCAAAAUACCAGCAACAACAACCCUGGCCUUACCUGCAGGAUCUUGUACCGUCAUUUCCUUACGCUUCACCUUCAACUUGUCCUUAACCCAUGGGAACUCCUGUAAGGAAUCCAGGAAUGCAUCAAAAGCCUUGGGUCCUCUAGUAGGAAGAAUAUCAAGGAGCAUCAUGGUUUUCCUUUGGCUGGUGGUUUGGGAUUUUAUUUCUUGAACAUGACUGUCGGUGAGAAUGCCUUCUUGGUAGAGAUACUGAAUAACCAGUCCAUCCACCAGCACCUCUGUGCAGAGCUCCAGGCGCAGGGAGCGCAAAAGCUGCUUGUCUCUGGCAUCCAUUUGGCAACUCGGGUUUCGCACGCGGCGGAGCGCCGAGCCCAACGGGCAGCGCACGGCCCCGUCCUGCCCCGCUCCGUUCCGGGGGCGGCGUCGCGGCAGCCCGUACCGCAGGCCCCGGCCCGCCCCGCGGAAGCCCGGCCCCGGCCCCGCAGCGCUGGGGGCCGCAGCCGAGCGCCCCGCGGCGCCGCCCGGCAGCCGGCUCGGCCGCUCUUCCGGAGCCGGAGGAGCGCGGCCCGCGGCGGCGGUUCCCCGGCGGGCCGAGCCCCGGAGCGGGCCGGGAGCGGGCGGCGCGGGGCGGGGGAGCCCUCCGCCCGCUCCCCGUACUUACAGAGGGAAACGGGGAACUAUACGCGGCGCCCCGGCGCCCGCGGAGCCGGCGCGGGGAGCACCAUCUUUGUUGAGGGCUCCGCCGGAAGCCGCCGCCCGGCCGCGGGCCGCCCGGGGGAGCGCCGCCACCGGCCCCGCUGACGGCGAGGGCGGGGGGUGCCGCCAUGUCACUUGUGGGCAGCGGGGGCGGCGCGGCGGGGGGCGGGAGCGCGGGGCACCGCGGGGGGGGCUCUGUCCCGGAGCGGGGCGGGGGAGUCGUUGCCGAGGUGAACGAGAGCCGCGGGAAGGGAGCCGUCGCGACCCGGGAGCGGCGAUGCCGACUCCUGACGCGACGCGGUGCGCGGCCCGGCUCCGUUCGGACGCACCGCUCGGCCUCCCCGUUCCCCUCCGAGCGGCCCGCAGAGCGAAGAGCGUUCGCCCACGGGAGCCCGACCCCCCCCCGCUCUCGGCCGGUACGCGGAAGCCGCGCACCGCCGGCGAGGGCACCACGCGCGCAGCGCUUCGCGGCGCCGCGGGGCGGUGUGGGCGCGGAGGGCCGCCUGAGCGCGGGGCGCGCUGCCUCUGGGGGACGUGGAUGCGCGUGUGGUGGUUUAUGUGGGCGGCAUCUGCGCGCACAGCGCUUUACGCGGCGGCUAGAAAACAAUGCCUUGGGUCACUCGGCAUACGUGUGUCGGUGUGGGGUAGCGGGCAGAUAAUAAAUUCGACGCAGAGGGUUGAAAUUGCUUUUAAAUGGCUGGUAGGUGAUGCCGCGUUUCGGUACGUCCGUUUAAACCACGGUGAACGCUUUGUCUCGGGCACACCUCAGCCUUCUAGGAACAGGGGCGGGACAGCCUACGUGCGCUGUGACCUUAGCUGCAAACCGCACGGGGAGGCACCGUCGGCCGCUGGGUGACGAGGAGCCGGCUGCCCUGCGGCCGCGGGACUGCUGUCACGGUUUCUGUGCCACGGGCCGUUUGUAGUACUGCGGUGCGAAAACACAUCUGUAAGCGAUUCAGAGUGGCACCGGGGAGCGGAGAACGCCACAAUCAGUGUAUAAGAUCAUCCCUCGCGCGGAGCCGUGUGACUGCUGAAAGUUUCCUUCCUUGACUUCCUGUACCUCUGCUUGCCAAUGUUUGCUUUGCUUUGCUUUGUUUUUCAGUUCUAGUCACCAUGGAAGGAACUGUAUUGUGUUUAGAACCGAAGGGACCGAACCUGAGGACUUCCAGUACCACCCCACUGCCGUCCUGGCGGCUGCUUUCAGUGCAGACAAUGAGCCCACGUCUCAGCCCAGAAAAGGGACGCAAGCAGUUUGUUAGAUAGCUUGCAUUCCUUCUGCCAGUUGAGGCAACUGUGAUUAUUUAUUUUAUACUGUCCAAGAAUAUCUUAGAAAGUUAGCAAAACAUAUGGAUGUGCGCAGAGCAGCUCCGGUUCCCUCUCUAAUAAAUAGCAGCAGCCCCGUUGUCUUUAGCACAGCCAGCGCUGGUCACGUCGCUGCUUACAGCCUAAACAUGCAGGGAAGGAGAGCGGUGGGAGGAAGGAGAUAAGCCUCGGAAGGAAGAGGGGAACGGCAGAUGUCCAGGUCUGAUUAAAGGGAAAAUCUGGUGUUUCCUUUUCUUUCCGCUGGUUUGUAUGCGGUGUCAUAAAUUCACCGGUGGAAGCUGAAAGCGCUACGAGUUGUUCAGGUCCGUCGGCAGCGACACGAGCGGAGCGGUGACUGCGCUCUGUGCUCACCCUGCUGCCGCAGGACAGCACAGGGAGAGAAGCCCUCACACUCAGCAGUUCUGCUUGGGUUCAGCUCUGACUGUGGUUCUCCCAGGUCUGAUCCGACUUCAGCAAGACUGCAGAAGAACGGAUCAGUUCCAUCCGAGUAUUAGGGGGAAAAAAACCAAAACACUGCAUGAUCCAGUUUGGGGUCGGCUCGGUUCCUUGCUAUCUGCUCAGGUCUGAAUGCUAACCUUGGUUAAACACGUAGAUCAAAACAGUAUCCCCUGGUUUGUGUAGGUCAGUGCACCACAGUCGAUCCCACACGUCAGCAUUUAGGACGUUUGACCUCAAACCUUGCUCACCGUGCUUCUGUGGGACCCACAGGGGAAUCGCCGCCGCUCUUCAGGCCAUGCUGCCGAGGACCGCUGAGUUCAGGGCAGCAAGUCCAGCUCUAUGAGAACCAAGUCCAACUCCAUGGGAACCAAGCUACGCAGCAUCUCUUCCGACAGGGCUGUUCCCUUUUACACGUGUGCUAUUGCAGAUCAGGAUGCCAGAAUUUUACAUGCACUGUACACAUUUUAAAAAUCCCAAAUCUUUUUAGAAACUCUGCAAGAAAAGUAAGUCCAUCCAAUAAAUAAAUAAAUAAACAAUCCAUCUCUUGAAAGGAUCCUCCCUGCUAAUUAGAGCUGAGCUCCAUCCUGCAUGGAUGUAUUUUCUUUGUUUUCUACAUACUAAUUUGUUUCUGCUGAUAACGAGAGCCAAACUGUGUUUUGAAAACUCGUGCAACCAGAUUUAAUCUAUUAGGACUAUGCUGUUUUCAAUUGUCUGUAGGACGGCAUUCCAACUUUAGGGACAAAAGAAAAGAAAUAUGAGCCUCAAGAUUUGUUUAUUAAAAACACAUCUAAUUGGUUAAAUCUCUCACAAAACCUCCAAAAUGAAGAUGGAAAAAAGAAGCAUAUAUUAUAGGGCUGCCUGUCAUUUUUAGACAGACGAGAGCAGAGAACAUUUCUGUUAAAAUAGGAGCCGGGGUGGCCCAAAUGCUGUGGCCUGAGGAGCAGAUGAGGGUCCUGCGAGUGAUCCCUUCCUUCCCACCCUCUUCCUCUGCCUCCCCUUGCUGUGCUGCCCUCGGCAAGCCUGGCUCUCAUUCACGCCAACACCUGGUGCUGCUGCAAAGGCAGGCUGGUGCCAGAGAGGCUCCGAGGGCAGUGGGCAGCCCCGACAGCACUAUUCUCUCUGCCUACGGGGAGAUUGUACCUGGUGUGGUGGGAUGGGGGCAGCCCCCAGCCUGCACGCCGGGUUAUUCUGCUGCUUCCUGAGCCCCCCUCCCACCAAACGAUAAGGGCUUGGAGUUAAGUGCACUUCAAAGAGAGCAAAGGGUAUAAAACGUAGGUGACACGUCAUCAACAUUCGGAGAAGUGUUUUAUUUAAAGGCAUGGCCAGCGUGUAGGUAAAGCCCUAUCUCAAAGCAUUAAACCUCUGGGGUUUGGGGCGACCCCGUAGCAUCCGUGCUUUUGCAUUUGUUUCAGCAAUAAAAAUAAGUAAAUAAAUAUUAGCGGUGCUGCGAGGAAUUGGUCCUCGGUGCUGUUUACUUUGGUGCUAAUGAUCUCAGCCAAAACUCGGACGUAGAACAGUGCUAAGAAAAGGAGCAGGCAUCGAAUGUGAAACUGGCACUUUCAUUCCGGAGGAAAAGAAUCUCUGCAGCGAAUUGUAAUAAAAAACCUGCACUGCAUAUUUGCAAAAUGUGACUCAAUAUUUCUUCUACGAGGAAUUUGUAGUCCAUUUUCCUUAAGUGUGUGAAUUAAUGCUUUCCUCUGUUUUGUUUUGAAGUUCAAUUUAAAGAUGCUUUCGGGAAAGAGCUGAAAUACCGAAAGCCUUGAAAUAUUCCUGACUUUUGAAACUUCUUUUUUUUUUUCCCUAAUGCAAAGCAACCAUUUUACUAAUGAGAGAGUAAAGAAGUAUCACGAAUCAGCCUGAAAAUUAAAUACUGAGAAGUAAGGAAAAAGAAUAUGAGAUUCAGGUCUAAAACCCUGUCCCAGAACAAACUGCUUUUGUUUGCAAGUUCCAGAGUAGGAACUGCCUGCCUAGCACUGCACACGGAGCGCAGGGUUUAUUGGGGAGGAGAAUAACCACUGAUUUUUGUCAUCUUCGGUUCCUUUCUCGGGCUUUGAGCUGCACAAACUUGCAUGCAGUGCAUCUCUUUUUAAAGUCUCUUGCUUUCAGGUUAAGCUUUUCAGGAGCUGGUAAUGAUUCAUGGAAAGUUUUUUGCAGGUAGCCUAGCCGGAGCUGUGCUUAUACUUCUUCCAUAUGUCCUGUUCUCCAAUAAAAAAUACCCUUCGAUUCACAGUCCUCGGGCUCGAUUUUGUUCCCUUGCAAAGUGAAACCUGUGUGGUUCAUGGCUGCGAGGCGCUGGCUCAGCAGCCUCGAGUGGGCACUGCAUCUGCCAACCGGGGGACUCGAAGGAAACUGAUGAUUUCCAGAGAGCUGCUAUCUCCUCGCAGUGCUUCUGCCUGCAGCGCUCAGCUCACAGAGGAGCUGCGAUGCUCUGGCACUGCAAUGGAGGCAGACAAGCAGCGCCCUUCCCCUACUUAUUUUCUGCUCUCUGCAGAGCAAAGCAGCUGCUCGAGGAGAUCACCAUUGUUGUAGGGUAAACGCUAAUUGAAAAACAAGCAAUUUUUCACCCACGCUGAAAAACUACAAAAUGUGAAGUCGAUCUCCUGCCCUACAGAUAUGGAAACUGCAGCUAGUAAGGGCUCGGUCACAUUUAAUAUUGCUUUUCUGAAAAGCAAAUGGCAGCAGCAAAAAGUUCCACGAACAACCACAGCUGAGCCACAGCUUCUUCUGCCUUGUGUCAGCGAGCAGCACGGUAGGUAAGAGAAAAGCAGCUGCCGGACGUGUCACGGAGGUGUGUGGAGGAGCCCCUCUGGUUGGGGCAUUCCCACCGAGCCAGGCUGGGUGUGGGGACAGAGGCUGAGCUGAAUGGGUCCUGUUUUGGGACCGCAGCCUAAAGAGGCACAAUUAAAUUUUAACAAAGCAUUUUGAAAAGUGAGGUUAGAGCUUUGAAAUGUCCAUCCCACAGCUGUUUCUAGUUUAUUUCUUG
Molecule: long non-coding RNA, 10002 nt
Filed under: Gallus gallus (chicken)
Lineage: Eukaryota; Metazoa; Chordata; Aves; Galliformes; Phasianidae
Source: RNAcentral